This 907-nucleotide long non-coding RNA is filed under the name Equus caballus (horse). Its description in RNAcentral is "lncRNA (ENSECAG00000047510.1)". Lineage: Eukaryota; Metazoa; Chordata; Mammalia; Perissodactyla; Equidae. The record is from RNAcentral.
AUUGGCCAAAAGAAGUGUUGUGUCUAGAAAUGUUCGCACAUGAAUCGUCAUAGGGCGUGCUACCCAUUGCUGGUCUCACCCAUGGGUCUUUAGCAUUGUAAUUACUGCUAUGAACCGCCGAAUACCUACCACAGCUUUAAGCUACUGGCUUUCCUGGGCUCUUCUCCAGCUUUCCAUGAGGACUACAGUGCAUCUCAUUUCAAGUAACCAACUGGUAAUCAAUAACCUGUGUGAAAAACACAAGAGGCAAGUAGCAGGAGAUAGAGCAGUGCAGAGUUGUGGACACCGUCCCGGAGUUGAAGAUUGCCUGCUCCUGCUUAACUCGAAUCUUGACCAGGUGAAUUAACUUCUCUAAGCCUCAGUUUUCCUUCCUGUGGAUUUCAGCUUUAUUCCACAUCUCCUGUCCGUCCAUUCCACAUCACACUCAAACUGAGGGCUCCCCUCAAUGCCCACGUCGCCUCUCCUCGGCUUUGCUUGUGUGGUGUGUUCUGCCUUGAAUGCCGUUUCCUGUCACUAAAUAUCCAAAUCUUGCCUAUUGAGAAAUUAAGCGAAACACUGCCUUUCCCACAAGGCCUCCCCUCUGCCCCACAGAAACAAUCGCAUCCUCUCUGAGCUUCCCGGACGCCGAUCUUUGGCUUCCUUGUAACCCUUCACAUUUCGUUUAUAGUCAUUGCUCUAAGUCCUAUCUCCCAAAAAAGUAAACUCCCCAAAGACACAGUCUCCAUCUGCAUCUUCUUCCUUACCAAUCUGGUACACUUUGAGUGCUGGAAAAAUAUUUGUUGAAUGAAUCAAUCAAUAACAAACUAUGCGCAUUUAAAGAAAAAUUUAUAUGAAAUAUCUACGCUCAAUUAACAAAUAAGAAAUUUAGAUGAACUAGCCGCACUAAAGCAAAGAUUUUGCCUUCUAU